This is a long non-coding RNA of Canis lupus familiaris (dog), 180 nucleotides long. RefSeq lists it as uncharacterized. The record is from RefSeq and is a predicted model, not a curated record. The transcript is spliced from 3 exons. Lineage: Eukaryota; Metazoa; Chordata; Mammalia; Carnivora; Canidae.
UCCCACAGAGUUUAAUAGAACAACAACAACAGAAAUAUCUUCAGAGUUCAACACAAUGGAAAAGAUCACCUAUGACCCAACUUGGAUGCCAGAAUUUGAGAAUUCUUAAAAGAAAAAUAACAGAAAGAAGGACAAACUCAUACUGUGGGACCUAGAACGAUAACUGUGAUUACUGAAUAG